This is a long non-coding RNA of Ornithodoros turicata, 452 nucleotides long. RefSeq lists it as uncharacterized. The transcript has 3 exons. NCBI's taxonomy places the organism in Eukaryota, Metazoa, Arthropoda, Arachnida, Ixodida, Argasidae. The record is from RefSeq and is a predicted model, not a curated record.
AUAACGUGUUUGUAUUGUAGACGUGGAAAGGAUGGAAUCGGCAAGCGAUGCGGGUGAAUGUUUCAGCCUACAACAAUCCAUGUCAUCAGCGGGUCCGGAAAAUGUGCUAGUGCUGGAUGGACUGCCCCUUGAACCAUUUGUGCCCUACCAGAUAGUCAGCCAAUAUGGGUUCCAUUACACAUUAGUACCGCACAAGCCAGAAUCUGUAGCGGAAAGGGUUCAGGACAAGGAAACACAAACAGCUAUUCCGACAUCCACGCUUGGCACUCAAACUGGGUUCCACAUGCAAAGUAGGGAAAGCCAGACAGGCAUGAGCCUUCCCCCUUCCAGCUCCCUUCUGUUGACAUCAUCUGAACUAGCAACUUGGUGUCCAGAAGACAGCAACAUUGAAAGCGUGGAGGUCUCUGCAGGACAGGCUUCCAUGCAGCAUAUAGGUGCACCAGCAUUUGAGG